AACGAACGCUGGCGGCAUGCCUAACACAUGCAAGUCGAACGAGACCUUCGGGUCUAGUGGCGCACGGGUGCGUAACGCGUGGGAACCUGCCCUUAGGUUCGGAAUAACUCCCCGAAAUGGGUGCUAAUACCGGAUAAUGUCUUCGGACCAAAGAUUUAUCGCCUUUGGAUGGGCCCGCGUUGGAUUAGCUAGUUGGUAGGGUAAAAGCCUACCAAGGCGACGAUCCAUAGCUGGUCUGAGAGGAUGAUCAGCCACACUGGGACUGAGACACGGCCCAGACUCCUACGGGAGGCAGCAGUGGGGAAUAUUGGACAAUGGGCGAAAGCCUGAUCCAGCAAUGCCGCGUGAGUGAUGAAGGCCUUAGGGUUGUAAAGCUCUUUUACCCGGGAUGAUAAUGACAGUACCGGGAGAAUAAGCACCGGCUAACUCCGUG
RNAcentral lists this ribosomal RNA (433 nucleotides) under uncultured bacterium. RNAcentral's name for it is "partial 16S ribosomal RNA". It matches the Rfam family "Bacterial small subunit ribosomal RNA", at positions 29 to 507 of the family's 1533-position model. The record is from RNAcentral.